GACGAACGCUGGCGGCGUGCCUAAUACAUGCAAGUAGAACGCUGAAGGAGGAGCUUGCUUCUCCGGAUGAGUUGCGAACGGGUGAGUAACGCGUAGGUAACCUGCCUGGUAGCGGGGGAUAACUCUUGGAAACGAUAGCUAAUACCGCAUAAGAGUAGAUGUUGCAUGACAUUUGCUUAAAAGGUGCAAUUGCAUCACUACCAGAUGGACCUGCGUUGUAUUAGCUAGUUGGUGGGGUAACGGCUCAACAAGGCGACGAUACAUAGUCGACCUGAGAGGGUGAUUGGCCACACUGGGACUUGGACACGGCCCAGACUUCUUCGGGAGGGAGCAGGAGGGGAACUUCGGCAAAUGACGGAAGUCUGACCGAGCAACGCCGGGGGAGGGAAGAAGGGUCUCGGAUCGGAAAGAUCUGUUGUAAGAGAAGAACGAGUGUGGGAGUGGAAAGUUCACACUGUGACGGUACCUAACCAGAAAGGGACGGCUAACUACGUG
This 495-nucleotide ribosomal RNA is filed under the name uncultured bacterium. Its description in RNAcentral is "partial 16S ribosomal RNA". It matches the Rfam family "Bacterial small subunit ribosomal RNA", at positions 28 to 507 of the family's 1533-position model. The record is from RNAcentral.